GUCCAUUGUGUCUGCCCCUGUCUACAAAUCGGCACGUACACUGUGCUGCAGAGUACGCAGUCGCCUGCUUGGGUUCUUAUCCUUCCUUGCUUUCUCCUCGUAAAUGGCCAGCAGCCUGUCUCAAUGCGGAUGGUUGAGAUACGAGCACCAUUGUUUGGCAUUCCUCUGACUACAGCAAUGCGGCUCAGAGAGAUUCUGCCUUUUGUUGAGGACGGUCAUAGUCAUCAUUAUAUACUAGAAGAGCAUCAACUUAAGUCUCUAGGUCAAAACGAAUCCAUGGAUUAUGUCCUAGGACAACCCAGCUCGGAGCGCACAAUGUCAACUCGCC
Molecule: small RNA, 328 nt
Filed under: Histoplasma capsulatum
Lineage: Eukaryota; Fungi; Ascomycota; Eurotiomycetes; Onygenales; Ajellomycetaceae
Also listed under: 1 other name
Description: hypothetical RNA
Source: RNAcentral